Molecule: transfer RNA, 77 nt
Filed under: Caulobacter sp.
Lineage: Bacteria; Pseudomonadati; Pseudomonadota; Alphaproteobacteria; Caulobacterales; Caulobacteraceae
Also listed under: 142 other names
Description: tRNA-Met
Rfam family: tRNA
About the family: Transfer RNA (tRNA) molecules are approximately 80 nucleotides in length. Their secondary structure includes four short double-helical elements and three loops (D, anti-codon, and T loops).
Source: RNAcentral
CGCGGGGUGGAGCAGCCCGGUAGCUCGUCAGGCUCAUAACCUGAAGGUCACAGGUUCAAAUCCUGUCCCCGCACCCA